Molecule: ribosomal RNA, 2082 nt
Filed under: Triticum aestivum (bread wheat)
Lineage: Eukaryota; Viridiplantae; Streptophyta; Magnoliopsida; Poales; Poaceae
Description: partial small subunit ribosomal RNA
Source: RNAcentral
AUGUGGAAACCGUUCAGGCAGCUCAUGCCCAAAGAGCAUUCCGGCCCUUCUGGCGGCCUCGAGGGCCGAACCAUCGAUGUCGGCAAUGUGAAAGUGCACGUCCGGGAAGCCAUUGCCGAGGGUGGCUUCUCGUGCGUGUACCUCGCCCGAGACCUGACCAACCCGGCGAAGCAGUACGCGCUCAAGCAUGUCAUUGUCCAUGACAAGGAGUCGCUGGACCUGGUGCAGAAGGAGAUCACGGUGAUGAGGGCGCUCAAGGGGCACCCGAACGUGGUCACUCUCGUCGCGCAUGCCAUACUGGAUAUGGGCCGUGGGAGGGAGGCACUUCUGCUGAUGGAGUUCUGCGAGAGAUCGCUGGUUUCUGCCUUGGACACUAGAGGUACUGCAGGGUUCUAUGAUGAGGAGCAGGUUGCUCUCAUUUUCCGGGAUGUUUGCAAUGCGGUCUUCGCGAUGCACUGCCAGACACCACCUGUUGCUCACAGGGACCUAAAGGCUGAAAAUGUGCUUCUUGGUGCUGACGGGGCUUGGAAAUUAUGUGAUUUUGGUAGUGUAUCAACAAACCAUAAGUGCUUUGAUAAACCAGAGGAGAGGGGCAUUGAAGAAGAUGUCAUCAGAAAACAUACAACUCCUGCUUAUAGGGCUCCUGAGAUGUGGGACUUAUACAGGAGGGAAGUUAUUAGUGAGAAAGUAGAUAUAUGGGCUCUUGGAUGUCUCAUGUAUAGAAUCUGCUACUUAAAAUCAGCUUUUGAUGGAGAAUCAAAGCUUCAGAUCCUCAAUGGGAACUAUCGUAUCCCUGAAUUACCGAAGUACUGUUCUUCCAUUACAAGUCUGAUCGAAGAGAUGCUUCAGUCCUCUCCAGAUGCCAGACCAGACAUUACACAGGUAUGGUUUCGUGUUAAUGAGUUACUUCCUUUGGAGCUGCAAAAGGAUUUACCUGAUGGAUCCCCAUCUGGAUCAGCAUUUGAAUUGCAAACUACUGAAGAUGAAGGACCCUCUCCAUCAUGGUCAAGAGACAAUGUGAGAAGUACACCUCCGAAAGGCCCUUCCAGUUUGAGGUCACAAGUUCCUGUUGAGAGUAAGGGUUCUGCAGGUGCAUUUUGGUCAACUCAACAUGCACAAGAACUAGCUUUUGCGGAUGACAAGGGGUCAGUUCUAGAUCAAGAGCCCAUAUAUGAUGGCAUAACAAAGCAACCUCAGGCAAAGAACCAGAACACGACACGGAAUGCAUACAGACAGUCUCUUUCUGCUUCUGUUGAUAGUUCUCCUGGGGAUUUUGAAAUAAGGUUUUCUCCAAAUGGUUCAGAAUAUGGCCUAGAGAAAACCCAAAACACUAAACCAGAUAACAAAACCAGUGCACAGACUGCUACUUUUAGCUCCUUUGUGGCAGACUUUGAUAAUGUUAAGGUGAGCUCAGAGGACAAUGCCGGCAGUUUAAACACGACAAGUAAAUUGAAAGAACAACAGCUGGAGGCCGAAGUAACUUUACUCAAGGAGCAAUUGAAGAUAGCAAACUUGGAGAAGGAAGAAAUUUCACUGAAGUUUGAUAGAUUGUCAGCCAUUUGCUCCUCUCAGAGGCGGGAGAUACAGGAACUUAAACAAGCUCUAGCCACAGCUUCUGCACCAGCGCCAGUUAAGGAGUUGAAAGAAAAUUUGAAGGCUGAAUUCUCCCCACCCAGCACAAGCCUUGACACUCCGCCAAGGGAGAAGAUUGCAGGAACCCCACCAGAGCUCCGGCAAGGUCUAUUUACAUCAAGUCCAGGGACACCAAGCCCAGAUCCCAAGCCAUGGUCCGCUUUUCCUGAAGAGCCGAAAGCUCAAGCAGUUGUAAAAUGUGCCCGCCCGAGGUCGGUCCGAACUUUAAGGGCAUCACAAAGCAACAAAACCGGCUCGCUUAGUCAGUCAAAAGCAAACUCUGGUGCCGUCCCCUUUGCCUUCGGUCAAGAUAGCUUUAAGGCUGUACCUUCUGGCACCGUGCCUUCUGAGAUGUCAAAUUUGGGGAAUGCUUCUCAGUCCCUCAACACUCUGAAGGCUGAAGUGGAGAAAGAUGCACCCUACCAACCAGCUGGAUGGACUGGGUUUUAA